Molecule: transfer RNA, 65 nt
Filed under: Heteroteuthis hawaiiensis
Lineage: Eukaryota; Metazoa; Mollusca; Cephalopoda; Sepiida; Sepiolidae
Also listed under: 2 other names
Description: tRNA-Gly
Source: RNAcentral
AUUUUAUUAGUAUAAAUAAGUAUAUUUGUUUUCCAAACAAAUGGUUUAAGUAUUUAAAUAAAAUA